UUGCAAUGAUGUAUGAAUUUCUUCGACUGAAUCACCAUGUGGAAUAAUUGAGCUUUUUAACCCUGAGCAAA
Small nucleolar RNA from Gadus morhua (Atlantic cod), 71 nucleotides. NCBI's taxonomy places the organism in Eukaryota, Metazoa, Chordata, Actinopteri, Gadiformes, Gadidae. The record is from Ensembl.